AAAUGAAUGGAGAUUAGAAUUCCAUAACUUGGCAAACCGCACACUACAUCUUCCUCUCUCCCAACCUAGUCCCUCUACAUCAUUUCUCAAAAAAUGCACAACAUGAUGCAUGGCUUUCUGUCAAGCCAAGACACAAGAAAUUGGGCAUUCUCCUUUGACACUGAGGAUCAGAACGGACACUGAGUCAGAUCCUUUGAGACUUUCCAAACUGCUUUAUAUUAAUCUUGCAUCUCAUUUGUUUAAAAUCCCCGAAUUUGGAUAUUGAUUUUUUUCAUUUCAUCUAAUUCUAAAAUUAAUUUUUAAAUUUUUGAUUCCGUAUAGGUCUCACCUUCCUGCAGAUAUCAUACAAUAAAAUUGAUUAAAUUCUAAGAGUUAAGCUUCGAUUUUCAAGCAAACCCUUGAAAAACUUCUCAUUCAAGAAAAAAAAAAAGAAACCUCCAUACUCGAGCAUUGAAUCAUUGACAGUGUUCAUCAGAACUGUCAGGAGUUGGAGAACUACAUCAACAAAAAUAUAUUUCGCUCUCUAGCACCUCAUAACCAAUGUUUUCUUUCAUACAGAGAAUGGUAAAUCGACAAAAGGGUAAGAAAAAUCAAUCUUCCCCUUUUUGAUCAGUGAUCACAAUAGGAUGAGGUUGUUCAGCACCAUGAAAGAUCCUGCGCUCUAUUUGCAGGGGGGGAAAAACUCACAUUAACGAACACGUUAUCUUUUGCUCUUAAUUAGUGGAUU
Molecule: long non-coding RNA, 727 nt
Organism: Neltuma alba
Lineage: Eukaryota; Viridiplantae; Streptophyta; Magnoliopsida; Fabales; Fabaceae
Exons: 3
Source: RefSeq, a predicted model, not a curated record